Molecule: transfer RNA, 81 nt
Filed under: Pseudooceanicola albus
Lineage: Bacteria; Pseudomonadati; Pseudomonadota; Alphaproteobacteria; Rhodobacterales; Paracoccaceae
Also listed under: 1 other name
Description: tRNA-Leu
Rfam family: tRNA
About the family: Transfer RNA (tRNA) molecules are approximately 80 nucleotides in length.
Source: RNAcentral
GGGAUCGUGGCGGAACGGUAGACGCAGGGCAUUCAAAAUGCUCCGCCUUCGGGCGUGGGAGUUCGAGUCUCCCCGGUCCUA